CUUCACUGUAUCUUGGCACUGGCUUUAGGUUUGGCAUGUGUAGGAUAGGUGGGAGGCUUUGAAGCAGGGACGCCAGUCCUUGUGGAGCCAUCCUUGAAAUACCACCCUUGCCCAAUUUGAGGUCUAACCGCGAUCCGUAAUCCGGAUCCGGGACAGUACCUGGCGGACAGUUUGACUGGGGCGGUCGCCUCCCAAAAAGUAACGGAGGCAUCCAAAGGUUCCCUCAGACCGGUCGGUAAUCGGUCGUAGAGCAUAAAGGCAGAAGGGAGCUUGACUGCGAGGCGGACACGCCGAGCAGGUACGAAAGUAGGGCUUAGUGAUCCCGCGGUUUAGCGUGGAAUUGCCGUUGCUCAAUGGAUAAAAGGUA
RNAcentral lists this ribosomal RNA (367 nucleotides) under uncultured organism. RNAcentral's name for it is "bacterial LSU rRNA". It matches the Rfam family "Bacterial large subunit ribosomal RNA", at positions 2099 to 2465 of the family's 2925-position model. The record is from RNAcentral.